This 726-nucleotide ribosomal RNA is filed under the name uncultured Glomeromycotina. RNAcentral describes it as "SSU rRNA". It matches the Rfam family "Eukaryotic small subunit ribosomal RNA", at positions 369 to 1097 of the family's 1831-position model. Lineage: Eukaryota; Fungi; Glomeromycota. The record is from RNAcentral.
GUUAGGGCACGACACCGGAGAGGGAGCCUGAGAAACGGCUACCACAUCCAAGGAUGGCAGCAGGCGCGCAAAUUACCCAAUCCCGACACGGGGAGGUAGUGACAAUAAAUAACAAUACGGGGUUCUUAAGGAUCUCGUAAUUGGAAUGAGUACAAUUUAAAUCUCUUAACGAGGAACAAUUGGAGGGCAAGUCUGGUGCCAGCAGCCGCGGUAAUUCCAGCUCCAAUAGCGUAUAUUAAAGUUGCUGCAGUUAAAAAGCUCGUAGUUGAAUUUCGGGACCAAUAUGUCGGUCGUGCCUCGGUACGUACUGGCAUCGUUGGUUUCUCCCUUCUGACGAACCAUGAUGUCAUUUACUUGGUGUCGUGGGGAAUCAGGACUGUUACUUUGAAAAAAUUAGAGUGUUUAAAGCAGGCUCACGCUUGAAUACAUUAGCAUGGAAUAAUGAAAUAGGACGUUUGAUUCUAUUUUGUUGGUUUCUAGGAUCGACGUAAUGAUUAAUAGGGAUAGUUGGGGGCAUUAGUAUUCAAUUGUCAGAGGUGAAAUCCUUGGAUUUAUUGAAGACUAACUACUGCGAAAGCAUUUGCCAAGGAUGUUUUCAUUAAUCAAGAACGAAAGUUAGGGGAUCGAAGACGAUCAGAUACCGACGUAGUCUUAACCAUAAACUAUGCCGACUAGGGAUCGGAUGAUGUUAAUUUUUUAAUGACUCAUUCGGCGCCUUACGGGAAA